This 253-nucleotide ribosomal RNA is filed under the name uncultured bacterium. RNAcentral describes it as "partial 16S ribosomal RNA". It matches the Rfam family "Bacterial small subunit ribosomal RNA", at positions 524 to 776 of the family's 1533-position model. The record is from RNAcentral.
UACGAAGGGGGCUAGCGUUGUUCGGAAUAACUGGGCAUAAAGCGCACGUAGGCGGAUUUGCAAGUCAGGGGUGAAAUCCCGGGGCUCAACCUCGGAACUGCCUUUGAAACUGCAAAUCUGGAAUCUCAGAGGGGAUAGCGGAAUUCCAAAUGUAGGGGUGAAAUCCGUAGAUAUUUGGGGGAACACCGGUGGCGAAGGCGGCUAUCUGGAUGAGUAUUGACGCUGAGGUGCGAAAGCGUGGGGAUCAAACAGG